UGCCUUGCAUGCUCAACGCUCUGGGUUCAAUCCUUAGCACCAUCACCAAAAAAUAAAAAGUUUUCCCUUUACUGCUGGGUGUGGUGAUGAAUGCCUACAAACCCAGCACCUCUGGAGGCUGAGGUAGGAGGAUCACAAGUUCAUGACCAGCCUCAGCAACCUAGCAAGGCCCUGUCUCAAAAGAAAACAAAAGGGCUAGAGAAGUGAAUCUGUGGUUAGGCACCCCUGCCUUCGGUCCUUGGUACCAAAAAACAAACAAACAAACAAACAAAACCCAAAGAAACAAAAAAAAAACUCUUCUUUUUUCUGGGAUAAAUGCCCAAGAGUACAGUUGUUGCAUCCUGCUAUAACUGUGGUUUAGUUUUUUUCCAGAACGUAUUAGAGUAUUUUCCAGAGUGGCUGUACCAUUUUAUAAUCUCCCAAUGUAUUCUAUUUGUGUUCCAGUUUUCCCACAUCCUUACCAGUAUUUGGUAUUGUUGUGUUUGUUUGUUUGUUCGGUUUGGUUUGGUGCCAGGGCCUUGCUAUGUUGCCCAUACUGGCCUCAAACUCCUGCACUCAAGUGAUCCUUCUGCCUCUGCCUCUCUCAUUGCGGGGAUAGUGGGGUGCUACCACAUCCAACUAAAUUGUUUAUUUUAGUCAUUCUGAUAGGUGUAUAAUGAUUGCUCAUUGUGUUUUGUUUUUAUUUGCAGUACUGUGGCUUAAACCUAAGACUUUGUAUAUGUCAGACAAGUACUCAACUGCUGAGCUACAUUCCCAGAACUUUUUUUUUUUUUUAAAGAGAGAGAGAGAGAGACAGACAGAGAGAGAG
Molecule: long non-coding RNA, 808 nt
Filed under: Marmota monax (woodchuck)
Lineage: Eukaryota; Metazoa; Chordata; Mammalia; Rodentia; Sciuridae
Source: RNAcentral